UCCUUGUGUUCGCCCUCCUUGUGUUCCCCGCCGUGAUGCUGCUGCUGAUGGUGAACAUCAGUAGUGCCGACACCGGGGAUCUGCUGCUUGAUCUUGUCCACCAAGCCCUCCUUGUGUUCGCCGCCGUGAUACUGCUGCUGAUGGUGGACAUCAGUAGUGUGGUGGUCCCCACUAUGGUGCUCUCCCUUGUGCUUGUCCUCCUCCUUUUGCCCUCCUCCCAUGUGAAGGGCUUCUCCGAUCUUGUGAAUAACUCCUGACAUUUUCCCUUAAAAUGACUCUGUUCCUCUUCUUUUCUUUUCAAUGAAAAAUAGUUGUUUGCGAUCUUCUUCUGGUUGUUGUUGUUCUUGUUGGGUGAUCUUGGCUUGGUAUUUAUAGGCUCCAAAAGGAGGGACUAGAAUUAGGAUUAGAUUAUAGAUUAUUUUAAUACAUUUUAUGGCAAAUUCUGAUUUGGAAAGAUAAGAUUAUCCUUUUGGUUUUCCUUAUUUACCCUUUUGCACCCAUUACGUGUACGCGUCUUCGUGGGCUUUUUGGGUAUUUCAAUUAUAUCGCCAAUGCUAAAUCGACACGUUGCAUAUCAGCCGCGGUACUGCCGUAUGUAGUUGUCCAGAAAUCGAGUCGAUUCUCGAUCGUACAAUAAUUAAAUAAUAUUUCAUACGAAAUGAGUUUAGAUAUAUUUUGAAAAUUUAUUUUUAAUUUAAUUAUACGUGUUAUAUAUUUGUUAAUCGAAUAGAGGUCCCACGUAACAGAGUGUUUCUCUAAUCUUUCAUUGCUUUUAAUUAAUUUUACCCAAAUAAAAAAAAAAAGGAAAAUUUAGAGAGAGAGAGAGAGAUAGCGAAUUAGAAGUUGAUUGUAAUAUCGACACCUGUCAGACAAUCAAAUAUCGUUAGUUAAAAAUCAGUUGUCCAUAGUCAUGGUCAUAGAUGGCGAAAUUGAUACUUAUUUUAAAAAACAAAACAAAACAAAACGAAACGAAACUAAACUAACAGAUGUUGAAAUGCAGUUCCGUGUUAACAGUCUGUGAUGAAUCUUUAUCUUUGAGUAUACCAUUCAAGAAAUUAUCAUUCAAAAAUUUAUUUAAAGCAGCAGCAAAUCACCUUCUAAUUCCUGAAUCAAAUUAAUUCGAUUUUUUUCGAGUCGAUCAAUUCAUUAGAGAAUUAACGGGCUAAGUUAAAGUUUUGUUAGUUAUUUUUUUUUAUAUUCCUUUAGAUGAUAUGAUUGUCAUUGUCUUUCUUUCUCUGGGCAACAAUAAAUACAAGAUGUGCAAAAGCGUAGUGGAACAUAAUUCGAUUAUGGGUAAAGGGAUCAGUCCGCAUAAUGAGGAUAAAGUUUUUCUCUUUAAAAAAAUUUAACCCAAAGAAAAGGUCGUAGUUUGUAAUAGCCGACACGCAGAUAGAUCACAAAGCAUGGCGGUCCUGAUGGCAAUAACUAACUGAUAUCUUCUGCGAUGAGAGGAGAUCACGUGGUUCUGACACGUAUCGCCCCAUCAACUGAUGUUGUGGCUGCAAUCGCGGCCCAGUCUUUAGAGAGAAGAAAGAUCUGUUAUAACGGGACCUACUUUAGCAUCUAUUUACGACAAAGCCCCUAUUUACUCUACUUAGUAGUAAUAAUAGCAAGUGUCGGGCUUGGAUUCCGUGUUGCUUUAAAUAAAUAUCCGCGUAAAAAGAAAAUGCUUCUUUAAUCCCUUCCUUGUAAUUUUUCGACACGUGGAUGGUUGAAAUUAGCGUGCCGACAUCUUAGGAAUUUUAUCUUGGAGACGGGAACACUGCAGUAGGCAAUGCCAUUUUCUUCGGAUGGUGUGUGGUGACAACGCCUUGGAUUUUGACGUGCAAAGAAUUUAAAUUGAAAAAGAAAAAAAGAAAUUACCAGAAUAAGCAUAGAAGAGAUAUUUUUCUUUUUGUCCUUUUUGGAAUGGAAAAAGAGAUCAAGAGAUUGUUCCAGUAAGUAUUACACAUGUCACAGGCUUAUUCAUGCCCCAUUAUGGCAACUUUUAUGCCUCGCGGUGCCCUCGGUUCCAGCAUAAUAGCUAAGACUUCAAUUUUUCUAACAUAUUUUUGUUACAAAUAUGAACGGAGUAAAUGUAUAACUUUAAUCCUUUGAAUAAAGAAAUGGCGGUUCUCCUGCUCGUUAAUCUCACUUGAAUCCCACCCAGGCAAAAUUUCUUUAUUUUAUUUAACAACAAUUUAAAGAAAGAAACUUUUGCCAGGUUGAAUUUCAAGUGAGAUUCAUUCGUGGGAGAAGUGCCAUUUCUUUAUUCAAAAGAUUAUGGUAAUUACAACUUUCAAUUUCGACAUAAAUUAAAAUUAUAGGCUAUACAAUAAAAUUGCCCUAAAUUAGUCCUAAUCAAUUCAGAUUAUAAAUUUAGGUAUAUUUAUUAUUUUAAUAUAUUAAUGUUCUAUAUAUAUAUAUAUAUAUAUAUAUAUAUGUGUGUGUGUGUGUGUAUNNNNNNNNNNNNNNNNNNNNNNNNNNNNNNNNNNNNNNNNNNNNNNNNNNNNNNNNNNNNNNNNNNNNNNNNNNNNNNNNNNNNNNNNNNNNNNNNNNNNNNNNNNNNACAGCAGAAAAUAUUUGCUAUGGAUAAGGAGACAUGGUCCCACGUCCCACCGUCCCAAUGCAUAUUUUGUAUGUUUCCAUCUUUUCUGAAAUUUUAAUAAAUAAAGUUUUUUGACCACUUGGCCAAAGAACCUUACCCUUACACAACUUUGUGGUUGGAGUCCUGUGAUACAUGUAAGAACUUAUUUUUUUUCUUAAUUAUAAUAUUUUAGAAUAUAAUUAAGUGAAGUAGGUUUUUUUUUUAAAUAUGAGUAAAAUAGAUAUUUUUUAAAUAUUAAAGAGAGUAAAAUUUGAAUAAUAAUAUAUUAAAAUUAAUACAAACUAAUUUUAAUAAUUAUUUAAUUAUAAAUAUCAAUUAUAACAUCAUAUAAUAUCAAUUAUAAUAUCGUACAUCUCAAUUAAUUCAAUAAUAAUAAUAAUAAAUGUUUUUUGGGAUAAGUAAACAGUCGCAUGGCGACAAUAGUGGAUCUGGAUUAGAGUGAAGUGGUCCCAAGAGGCUGAGGCUGUGGCUGUGGAGUUCUAAAAGUCAAAAGCUCCACGCACUUUGUUUCAGUACCAUACACACUGAAAAAAUUUGCAUUUGCAAUGACGAAAACUUUUCACGAAAUCAAAACACCUCUAAACUAUUUUGUUAUCGAUAUUUAAUGGAGGGGUUUCCUACCUUUUUAACACUCGAUUCACGCCUUGACGCAUCUCACAGAAAACCUCAUGAUCCCAUUAAUCUUGCGUAACAUAUCUCAAAGCCAAUGCAAGUGAUCUUGUUGCCUACUUCCCUUUGACGAUUCAAAAUUGUUGAAAAUAAUUCUUUUUUUUUUUAACCUCAAGGAAGUGACAAAAUAUAAAAGAAUAUUUUCUACACAUUAAACAUCUAGAUUUUUUUUUCUUUUCUUUUUAGAGUACUUGCACAAACCGUUUCCAAGAGAGACCUUUUUUUUUUUUUUUUUUUUCCGGGCUUGGUUACUAAUUUGGUGUGAAUACUCUAUGGUGAAAAAGGAAUCACAAAGCUGUAAUCAAUUUUUUUGCAUCAUUUAGUUGUAACUUGAACAUUGGGAGGUUUAUAAAGAAUUAAAUUAAUUAUAAUGCCUCUACUAGGAAAAGUUCAGAGUAGCCCUUCACAACUUUUUAAAGGCUUAAUAAUUUUCGCUUUCUUCCUCUCAUAACAUAACAAAAAAUUAAGAGCUUUACUCGUACACGUCCUAUGGCUAUAUAGUAUUGGGUUCUCUACUUCAAUCGGCUAUCUCAAACCGAAGGUUAUUUGGACACACCAGCAGUCACGUUUGGAAACUCUCAAAUGCUUGGAUUGUAAUUCUUGUGGAUGAGAUCAUCUAAAUCUUGGGCCCAAGCCGGACAAUGGGUGGACAAAGAACCCUAAAAUACAGUAAAGCUUCUAACACCCCACUAAAACUCUUAAGAAAUCCUACCUUUUAUUUUUAUAUCUCUUUCUUUUAGAAAUUAUAGAGAAGACAUAGCAUUUUAAUUAUUUUCCCUGCCAUUGAAAAUAAAUUCUGUAAACAUAUUUUUUCAUAAUAAAAUUAUUGUUAUUAGAUAAUUUAUUUCUUCAUUGUUUCAAAAUUAUUAUAAUUUUAUCAACAAAAUUAGUUAUGUCAUAUAUUAGGAUUAAAAUUAAUUAGGAUCCAUAACUUGUAAAGACAUUUUAGUUUAAUUGAAUUCAUAUUUGUCAUUUUAUGUAAUUUUCAAUAAAAAUACGACUAUGAGUGCAAAAGUGGGAUGACAUAAUAUUAAAAGAGUGUGAAAUAAUCGGUAAUUGAAAUGGAUUGAAAUCAUAAUAGAGUAUGAAAAUCAGAAUAAAUUGUUUACUUUAGUUGUAGAAAUCAAAAUUAAAAUAAACCAUAUUAUCAUUGAUGUAUAUAUGUUUUCUUGUAAUCGAAAUGAAUUCUUAUAAGUUACUAUAAGACCCUUAUGGUGUGUUUACUAAUCAGAAAUCAGAAUGGAGUGGAAUUUGAAUAUAGAAUGGUAGGGGUAUUCGCGGAUCGGAUUUUACGGAUUGGACAUUAAUUCAUAUCCGAUCCAUAAUUUUACGGAUUAUAAAUUCUCAACACAAUCCAAAUCCAAUCUAUAUGUUUGCAGAUCGGAUGCGGAUUUGACUCAAUUCAUAUCCAAUCCACUAUUUGACGGAUUGAUUUUGGAAUUAAAAAUUUUUAAUUUUGUCCAAUCUAUGAGGUAAUUAAAUUUAAAAAUCUAAUAUAAAAAUAAUUUAUUAAAUAAAAAAUUAACGUAAAAAUAAUUUUACUACCAAUUAAAUUCAAAAUUGAACAAGAUUUAAAUAAAUUAAUUAUUUAAAUAAAACUAGAAUAAUUUAUUUAAAAUUUUUAAAUAUAACAUAUCGAAAAAAAAUUCAUUUGUUUAGAUUAAUAUAUGAAAAUUAACUAAAAUUAUGAAUUUAAAUGUUGAAAUUUGAGAGCUUGGAUGUAACAGGAAGAAAUUAAGAAACUUGAAGAACUUGAAAAGAAAGUAACAAAUUAAGCUUAACUACCUCUAAUGGUGAAGUGAAACAGUGAUGGUUUGUGCGUGCAAUGGGGUACAAAUUUGGCAUUAUAUGCCAAAAUAUUUUGUUUGGCUUUAGAAUUUUUAAUGUUUAGGAAGCUAUAUUUGUUUAUUUAAUUACUCAAAUAUUUAAUUAUUUUUUAUUUUAUGUUAUUAUUGAAUAAGAUAUAAUAUUGUGUUAAUUUAGCUAUACUUUAAUUAAUUAAUUAAUUUAUUAGUAAGUAGCAUUGCUACAUUUAUAAGUUUUAUUUUUUAUUAAAUAAAUACUUUUUUUUUUCAGAUUCACGAAUUUUUACGGAUUUACAGAAAUAAAUCCAUAUCUAAUCCAUCGACUGUGGUUUUUUAAAUUUUCAUUCCAAUCCGAUCUACCAAUCCACAAAUUAUAUUUUUACGGAUCGGACGAAUUGAGCGGAUCAAAUUGGGUUCUGAACACCCCUAGAGAAUGAGAAUCAAAAUAAAUUAUUUACUUUAGUUGUGUGAAUCGGAAUUGGAAUAAAUUGUACUGUCAUUGAUGUGUUUACUUUAUCUUGGAAUCAGAAUGAAUAAUUUCAAAUUACUAAACUGACCUUAAUUUUUUAUUGUAAUAAUAAUAGUAGUAGUAGUAGUAAUAGUAGUAAUUUUCUAUUAUUAUUAUUAUUUUCUCUCUCUUUUGUUUUUAUUUUUUUAUUUUUCUCUUCUUCUUCUCUUCCUCUUUUUUUAUUUUUCUCUAAUUCAUCGAUACUUCUUCUUCUUCUUUUUUCUUUCGUUUUUAUUUUUAAUUUUUCCCUUCUUUAUCGUUCCUUCUUCUCCGUCCAUUCUCUAUCUUCAAACUCUUUUUACUUUUUCUCUUAUUCUUCAUUACUUCUUCUCCCUUUUUUUUUUUUUUCUCUUCUUUAUUAAUUCUUCUUCUUCUGCGUCUAUUCUUCAUCUUCAAAUUAUCAAGUGAAAAAUACCCACGGUGCCUUACAAGAAGAAUUGGUUUUGUUUGCUUCAAUUAUUUUUUGUAUUUUGUACUUUUGAUUGUUUCAAAAGAGGAUAAACUUGUAAUAAUGCAAUUUAAGUAGGGAUGUUUUAGACAAUUUUGGGUAUGAGAGUCUAAUUCCCAACCCCCCACUCCCUCGUAGCAGACUCCCAUUCUUCAUUCCUAACUUGGUGUUGGACCUACUAAAAUAAAUCCCAUUCCCCUUCUUAUUUCAAGAAGCAAACACGAUUUUGAUUUCAAUUCCCCAAUCCGAAAGUAAACGCACAAAAAUUGUACCCAUAUGAGAUUGCUUAUCCUCGAGUUUUUAGAUUGAAAAAAAAAAAGGAAAAAAGAAUGGCCCCAUUAGGAAGGGAUUUUAAGUGUUAGAUAAAGCCGGUGUUAACCAUUAGAAGGUCUCCGACCUUC
Molecule: long non-coding RNA, 6418 nt
Filed under: Citrus sinensis (sweet orange)
Lineage: Eukaryota; Viridiplantae; Streptophyta; Magnoliopsida; Sapindales; Rutaceae
Description: long non-coding RNA (CSIN_LNC002323)
Source: RNAcentral